UGGACCUUUAUAGAAUCUGUAGGUUCUUCCAGGGUAGCCUCUUGAUGGCCUCAUUCCCAUGUUUGUCAUUGGGACUUUAGCUACAUAAUCUUGAGGAUACCAUGUCAUUGGCAGCUUCCCUCCUGUUAUUUUACAUCAAAAUUAGCUUGGAAAGUGGGAGGUUUGAUGUUUAAAAUGUCCUUAAUGUGAUGAAAUCCCGAAACGAAAGAUUACCUGGAUUGGUUGUUCCGAAUAAAACAUCCGCAAUUGCAGUUCCUCCAGCUUGGCCUGGAUAACCAGCCCAUAUAAUGGCACUAACUCGAGGAUCAUUCUUAGCGAAUGAGACAUCGAUAGGACCACCUGACAUCAAGACCAGCACGGUUGGACCUCUAGAAGCUCGAGCCACUCGGGAAACAAGCUCUUGCUGGCGUCCAGGCAAGAGCAGCCCUACCCUGUCCCUGAAUUCUGCUUCUAUAGAUUGGUCAAGCCCCAUUACGAGUACGGUUGCAUCUGCCUCGUGGGCUGCAACCUCCGCCGCUCCAAACAGAUUGUUUGUGCCGCAAGCAACAUCUGAACACCCUGCCUGAUGAAUGGUCCUUGCAUAUCUUGAAAUACCUUGCAAUGGACUCGUGUAACCACAUGCCACUCCUGCAUCAAAGAAACAAAGGGAACCAUCGUAUUUUCAUAAACUUAGCUUUCACUGAGAAUGAAGCAAAUGAAUCAAAAAUGAGACUGGUACCUGCAUAAUUUCCUAUCAUUGUUACAGUGACAUCAGAGUUGGGCCCAAUAACAGCAACAGUGCGGUGGCGUGCAGUGGACAAUGGCAGAGAACCAGAGUUCUUUAGCAAAACUAU
RNAcentral lists this long non-coding RNA (833 nucleotides) under Gossypium barbadense (sea-island cotton). Its description in RNAcentral is "long non-coding RNA (GBAR_LNC009487)". The record is from RNAcentral. Lineage: Eukaryota; Viridiplantae; Streptophyta; Magnoliopsida; Malvales; Malvaceae.